UACGUAGGGUGCGAGCGUUGUCCGGAAUUAUUGGGCGUAAAGAGCUCGUAGGCGGCUUGUCGCGUCGGAUGUGAAAGCCCGGGGCUUAACCCUGGGUCUGCAUUCGAUACGGGCAGGCUAGAGUUCGGUAGGGGAGAUCGGAAUUCCUGGUGUAGCGGUGAAAUGCGCAGAUAUCAGGAGGAACACCGGUGGCGAAGGCGGAUCUCUGGGCCGAUACUGACGCUGAGGAGCGAAAGCGUGGGGAGCGAAC
Molecule: ribosomal RNA, 250 nt
Filed under: uncultured Streptomyces sp.
Lineage: Bacteria; Bacillati; Actinomycetota; Actinomycetes; Kitasatosporales; Streptomycetaceae
Description: partial 16S ribosomal RNA
Rfam family: Bacterial small subunit ribosomal RNA
Source: RNAcentral